This is an unclassified non-coding RNA of Ursus americanus (American black bear), 97 nucleotides long. The record is from Ensembl. NCBI's taxonomy places the organism in Eukaryota, Metazoa, Chordata, Mammalia, Carnivora, Ursidae.
CUGAGAGGAUCCCCUCUUCUGCUACACGUUCACUCAUGUGAAAGAGCUGGUAGACUCUCUAAAACACUUUCCAGAAGACAUUCUUCACAGUUCAACC